GAUGAACGCUGGCGGCGUGCUUAACACAUGCAAGUCGAACGAUGAAGCCCAGCUUGCUGGGUGGAUUAGUGGCGAACGGGUGAGUAACACGUGAGUAACCUGCCCUUAACUCUGGGAUAAGCCUGGGAAACUGGGUCUAAUACCGGAUAGGAGCGCCUACCGCAUGGUGGGUGUUGGAAAGAUUUAUCGGUUUUGGAUGGACUCGCGGCCUAUCAGCUUGUUAGUGAGGUAAUGGCUCACCAAGGCGACGACGGGUAGCCGGCCUGAGAGGGUGACCGGCCACACUGGGACUGAGACACGGCCCAGACUCCUACGGGAGGCAGCAGUGGGGAAUAUUGCACAAUGGGCGAAAGCCUGAUGCAGCGACGCCGCGUGAGGGAUGACGGCCUUCGGGUUGUAAACCUCUUUCAGUAGGGAAGAAGCGAAAGUGACGGUACCUGCAGAAGAAGCACCGGCUAACUACGUG
This 466-nucleotide ribosomal RNA is filed under the name uncultured bacterium. RNAcentral describes it as "partial 16S ribosomal RNA". It matches the Rfam family "Bacterial small subunit ribosomal RNA", at positions 28 to 507 of the family's 1533-position model. The record is from RNAcentral.